UGGUAUCGUAAUUUACUAGUAGUACCUAAAACCCAUUAGGACCCAAAUGUCAGUGUUUUUCUGGUCAAGCAAGUGAACUUAUGUUGUUGUUACUGUUUAUAGGUAUAUAGGUUUGUCAGAAACUUCAGGCAAAUGGAACAAAAGCAAGUUAGCAAUAUGUUUAUGUGUACUAGCACUUUAAUAUGAUGUGAUGCAAUGUGUGUGGUCCUUUUCUGAUGUGGUUAUCGUCUUUGUUCUUUUCUGAAGAUUUGGAGAUGACACAUGAGUUUAGUUUAGUCAUGUAGGCGCACUUUUUCGCAUCGGUGAAAUUUGAGCCAUUCAAAUAGUUUUUAAAUCCAGUGAAAUUUGAGCUAUUCAAAUAAGUGGUCACAUGGGAUCCCAUGAGACUUGACAGUGGUCCCCGUUAGCAACGCUUGGGUAGUCGAUUCCCUUUCCCCUCCAUCGUGGCUCACUGCUUAAGGGUCCGGAUAACCUUCAGUUGCGCUUCCCGGUUGGCCAACCAUGAUGUCGAUCAUCAACCUUCAUACUCUUACGGCUAUGCAUCGGAGGCCAACAGUAAUCCUCUUUUUCUCAGACAAAUCCUCCUACACUUACCAACAUUUGCUAGUUGCUUGCAAGAACCUAAUUGCCAAGUCUGAAAACAGUUAAUGUGUGUGUUGAUGGUAAUAACCUAUGGCUGAGAAAUUUUUACAGAUGGUGAAGAAGAUGGAACAGUCAAAGGAGAACAUCAAUGCCAAGAAGGGUGACGCCCUACUGCGGUAGUUGCAUCUGGUGAACAGUGACCCACCAUUCAACUUCCAUAGCCUUGCUAGCAGGAGGAAGAGGACUUGAAUCUGGUUGUCUUGUGUGUUUGAUGCAACUACAACAACAAUGGUGGUGAUGAUAGCAGUUACGUUUUCUUUGCAAAUAGGGAUGAUAUAUUAAUUUACUAGUGGUACCUAAAAUCCAUAAAGACCCAAAUAUCAGCAUUUAUCUAGUCAAGCAAGUGAACUUGUGUUGUUGUUACUGUUUGUAGGUGAUGAUGGGUUUGUGAGAAAAACUUCAAACAAAUGGAAAAAAUAGCAAUAUGUUGAUGUGUACUCCGAUAGACCCCUUCUACUUCCGAGCUUAAUUGAGCUCAGGAUGAACGGUAAAUUUAACAAAAGUAAAAUACUUCAAUAAACUCUGAAUGUUUUUGGGUGUAAACGUCGACAAAUGUUCUUAGUGCUUGUAAAUUUUAUCCCGAAAUAACAUUCAGUUUUUUGAAAUGACUUUCGCAAAUGUUAUUUCGGGAUGAAAUUUGCAAGCAUGAAAAUAUUUGUCAAAGUCUGAACCUGGAAUAAUUUAUAUUUUUUUCUUUUUUGAUUUUACUAUUCGUUAGAGAGCAUAUGAGGUCGGGGCUAGAUACUCUGCAUCUUGUAUACUCGCUCUUUAAUAUGAUGUGAUGCUAUGUGUGUGGUCCAUUUCCGGUUUAUGUUGGAGUCUUGGCCUUUGUUAUCUUAUGAAGAAGUGGAGAUGACAGACGAGUUGAGUUUAGUCACAUAGUGCAUCGGAGUCCAGGAGUGAUCCUCCUUUUCUAAGAAAAAAACCCUCAUGCAAUUACUGUCAUUUGCCAAUUGCUUGCAACAACCCAAUAGCCAAGUCUUAAAAUAGUAAAUGGGUGUGUGCUUGAUUAUGUUUAUAUUACAUCCAAUAUUAACUCAUGUUCAAACAGAAUAUUAUGUAUACUCUUUGAUCUAAGGUUAUUUUUAAUAACUUGGAUUUUUUGUCACGAACAAAUCGAUGAACCGUCGGUCCAACCAGGUAUAGCCGCAACGGUUCGGUUGCCCGUUUGGUUCUAGAAAAUAUAGUUUGAUGGCCAUGGUGGAAGAACGCGACAUAAAUUGCUUUGUAUCCCGAGAACGACGAGGAGAAACGAGCAGGUGGCGGCAGCACUUAUCACUUCAAGCAAUAGGGAGACUAGACCAUAGGGAGAGUAAGUGAGAUGAGUUCGUGUGUGCAUGUAUUUUAGGGAAAGAGCGUGUGUAUUGUAUUAUUUUUAUUGUUUUUUUGUGUGCAUGAAGUGUCUUGUUUGGGCCAAGCCCAAAUAAUGAAAAUAAAACAUUAUCUCUAAAAGUAUUCAACAUCCUAUAGAUCCCUUUGCAUUCUAUCUUUUGCAAAUUCUAAAAAAACCUUUUGAUUAUUUAUUAAACUUUUAAAUUGUAUAUAACAAUUUCACCGUCUGUAUAUCCUACUUAGAACACAUCCACCACUUCGCUUUCACCCGGUCAUAGUGAUAAGUGAAAGGACGCGCCAUCGAAGGACAUGACUAUGACUUCCUCAACUCUAUACUACGUGGUCCAAAUACCAACGUUCUUUUUUUAGUGUCGACACAAAGUGUGUGGUUUUUUUAAGAGAAAGACUGUUUCUACUUUUUUUUAUUUCAAAAAUAUGAACAUUUUAAAAUAUGUUCACCAUUUUUAUAUUCAAUAUUUCUAAAAAAUGUACCCUUUUUUGAAAUGUUUGCAUUUAAAAAUAUUCUGAAAAUAAUAAAUCAAAAUUGUUUUUCAAAGUCUUGUGUUAAAAUGUGAAUCUUAAAAAAUCCCAUUUUUAUAAAAAUGAUAAAAAAAUAAAAAAAUGUUACUUUUUAAAAGUUAAAUAUUCAUGUUCUGUCGAAAGGUAAAAAGACGAUUGACAAAUAAUUCCAUGCACAACUACUCUUUCAUCACAUGACGGAUGUUAAGGUGGCUUCUUCACAUCCACACUUCAAACUCCGAAAAGAGAUAGUUAGAAUUGCAUAUAAGAAAUGUUGUGCAAUGGCACACAGAAAGCAGAUUUUGCUAUUUUUUGGCCCGUUGCAACGCACAGGCAUUUGUACUAGUAUUGCAAAAGUCUAUUAGAUUUAACCCUAAGGCUUCAAAGUUAUAAACAAUCUAGUUUGAAUUUGGUUCAAAUUAAUUAAAAUCCCUAAAGUCAAUAAUAACCCCAAAACAUUUGCUAAAGUUCAUUUUAAGUUUCUGAACUUAGUUACAACUUAAUUAUCCUAAUAAGCUCUUUAGGUUCAAAUAUUGUUUGAAGUAUAGCUUCUGCUAAAAUAUAUUUAAUGUCAAUAUUAAAUUAUUUUAAAAUUGAACUACAAUGGCUAACUUCAAACUACAUUUCACUAGGUUCAUUCUACAAAAGUAAUGAAUUCAUUUGGAUUUAUAAAUUGCAAGUUACACCCUAUUGAAAUUUGAAUUCUUGUUGUUUGAAUUUCAAUUAAAUAUUAAUGGACUACGUGAAAGUGUAUUUAUUGAGGAUGAUAUUGCAAAAGAAUUUGUCAAUUUGGAUUUACAGAUAAAAAGUUGUGAGUGUUUGAAGUUCUAGGUUUUUUAAAAAAAAUCUACCAUUUAAUUCAAUUUAGGAGAAAUUUGAGUGGAUAAUGUUUUGGAUAAGGCGGGUGGCGUGGCAAUUUCCUAUUGGCUGAUACCGAUUCGGUUUAAGUGGACUGAUAUGGUGCGUGCGAUCAAAAUCUAACAGUCCAAAUUAGAUCUAGUGGUUUGGGUUUCGGUGGUUCACCACAAUCUCGCCAAAGAGUCGCUAGAAAACAUGCGCAUGGGGGCGCUAUGCUCAGGAGUUGUCAGAUAUGGAGUUCUAGGGGGUUUCCGGGGUAGCAGAGGGCACAGACAUGCUCGGCGUUGCUCGGGGAGAUCGAAGGUGGCAUCGGCUGGCCUCCAGGGUGACGGAGACUCACGGGGUGAGCUCACUGAAGUUCGGUUGCGUCGGCGGGGCUUCGGGUGAUGAAGCGGUGCUCGAGAUUGAGUGCCUAAUGAUGAACCAAACGGAUUAGAUGACACACGUGAUCAAGGUGAACACGAUGGAGAAGGUCAUGGGGCAAGACACUCACGGUGUCGCGGGAGUUGAGGUCAUAACGGUGGCGAGGCUCAGGCUUUGUCGAAGUCGGGCAUAGAGGAAGUUCAUGUCGCCGCGAAAGAUGUCCAGGGGUCCACCGUUGUGCGGGGAGUCGAGUGGUGGCGGUGGUUGGUCUCGGGGUGACUGCACUCGCCGGAAUCAACGCUGGAGUUUCUAGGUUAGUGGAGGAGCUCGGGGGUUCACCGGCGAGGAGCCUGGUGGCAUUGUGAGGGGAAUGCAGAGGGGAAGUGGUGAGAGUGUCUGGGGCUAUUUAAUGGACAUGGAGGUAGGAGCUGGCAUGGACGGUAUGCGCGCGAGGUGGAGAUCGUGGUCGGUGUGCAUGCGUGGGCGGUUGGAGGUUGGGGGUGACCCUGACUAGUGGGACCCACUGGUCAGCAACUUAGGGAGAGAGAGAGAGAGGGUGUGCGUGGGGUUGGGUUGUGGCUGGCUUAACUGGGCUUGCCUGGCUAGCUUGCUCGGUUGGGCAUUUUUAUUUUUCCAUUUUUUGUUUUUUGUUUUGUCUUUGCCUUUUCAUUUGAAUUUGAUUUGAUUUUUUUAUCCAAAUAAAACUUUCACUAAUUUCAAAUAUGAAUAUUUAUGCCAACAUUUUAUUUGGCUGUUUUGAGCAUACGUUUUCUGCACUUUAUUUUCCAUCUUCAAUUUCAAUUUGGUUUAAACCCAAAUAUGUUUGAAAUCCAAUGGAAAUUUGGUAGAAGGUCAAGCCUAUUAUUUGGACAUAUGGGAUUCACUCUCUUGCUAAAUAAAUGCAAGCCCCUUUUCAUAAAAAUCCCCAUUUGAUUUUUGAAUUGAUUCCAACCAAUCCACUCCAAUCAUUUAGGAAAAUUUAUUAGCGCCUGAAUAUCAUCUGGGUCUUAUUUAGGAUAGCCUUAUGCCCAAAUAAAUAUUUUAAUUUUCAACCUAUAUUGGGAUUCUGAUUUAUUCCCUAAACCUUGUAGGGUUGAUUCUGUUUCUCCCAAAUUUCAAACAAAGGUUUCAAUCUGGCCAUAGGGUCCUUGACUCUCUAGGUGAAUUCAAAUAGUGCAAACACGUCAACCAUCAAGAAAAUUCCUAGACAAUAUUUAGCUAGAGGCUAACAAGCAUAGGUUUUCUCAAAAAAAAAUUAAUUCCCUCACAAAUCUCCUAGCCUAAUGCAAUGAUGUUGCAUUGACCACACAUGUGGGCAAUAUAGCGCGAUCUAACAUAGAGCGUCCGUGUUGUAUCCUUUUAGGUGAGACAUAUUGAUAGCCAUAUGUUACAAAAUGAAGGGAGGAGAUGAUAUAGGGGCGUGGGUGGACUAGGGUCCACAAUUUCACUAUUUUAGGGAACCAUGACCCUUUUCCCCAUUAAAACUAGGCUUGCCGUGAGCUGCAUUUACACCACACGCACUCUCUCUCCUUUUUCCCACACCAGAUCUCCUCGCCCUCGAGUUUUUAGCCGUUUUGGCUCGCCUUCGCCGGAAUUCGUCCGCUCUCGCACUCAUACGAGGUAGGAAUCAUGGAUCCACCCACUCUUUUCCUCGUCGUCCUAAUCUUAGACGUGUUUGAUGUGUGUUGUAUUAAUGACAGAUUUUUGUGAAAUCUGCGAAGCCGAUCUGGGAUAUAAGUGGUUUUAAGGGAGAAUACAAGUUCAAUUUCUGUCAGGUGGUGAGGCGCACUUUAAUUUUUGAUAUUAUGAUUCAUCGAUUUCAUCUGUAUGCUCACGCCUCGACAAGGAUUUCGAGGGCUAAGGUUUGGUCGGGGAGGGGUGGGGUGGGGGAUGCAGGAUCUAACCCCGCAUGAUGAAAUUGUUGUCGAUUGGGAAGCAGAGUGGCUCGGCCUUCAUGUUCAAGUUUUGUAAACAUGUGUUUGUGAAUUAGUAGGGUUAGGGGAAUGAGAGACACAAGAUGAUGCAUGUUUGUGCGGUGGUUCGGGGAAGUGCUUGGGCGGGUGGACAUGCAUCUUGGUAUCCUCUAGCCAUGAUUUCCAUCUGGACCCCCCUCCCACCCUUAGUGGUCCAGCAUACUUUAAUUUUUUUUAUUAUGAUUCAUUGAUUUCAUAUGUGUGCUUGCCACAACAAGGAUUUUGGGGGCUAAGGUUUGGUCGGGGAGGGGUGGGGUGGGAGGAUGCAGGAUCUGACCCCGCAUGAUGAAACUGUUGUCGAUUUGGGAAGCAAAGUGGCCCAGUCUUCAGGUUCUAGUCUGGUAAAGGUGUGUUUGUGAAUUAGUAGAGUUAGUGGAACAUGAGACACAAGAUGAUGCAUGUUUGUGCGGUGGUUGGUGGAAGUGCUAGGGCGGGCAGAAAUGCAUCUUGGUAUCAUCUAGCCAUUAUUUCUAUCUGAACCCCCUUUGCUGACCCCCUAUGGUUUUUCUAAUCCUCCAAUUUUCUGUUGAUUUUCCACUCCUUGAAGGGACAAUAUGACAUUUUUCUGGAACAUGCAAGAGUUAGUAUGACAUUUUUGUAGAACACACAAGAGUCAGUAUGAGAUAUCUCGCAAAAAAGGGUAUGAGAUCAGUAUAUGCCACAAUUGUUUUAACUAUAUUGGUGUAGUUGUGGUCCUUAGAGGCCCACUAGUGCACGACAAAUUCUGGGCCUAGAUUCCCUCUAGAUGAUCCAGGGCUCCAAGCCAAAAAAUAAAAGGUAGACAUGCAUUUCUCACUUUCUCCAAAAAAUGCAUGUCUCACUCUUUUUGCGUGUAGAAUGACUUUACCUUUUGUCACCUAUCUAUUUUUUCCAUUUUUGAUGACACCAAAUUUGUCACCUCUAUGAAUUGAAGAGCACCGUGUUGUAAGACUCCUUGUACUAAUACAUCCCCCGAAUUAGAAACGGCGAUCUUGGCAGUAGUAGGCAGUGGCAAAUGGCCACACGCGGUUUACUCAUAUACUUGUCUCCCACGCUAAUGUGCAUAAUGCUCAGUCGUUGGUACUGAGGCGUCUCAGUGGCAACCAUCGUCGGCUAGCUAUUGAAUGGAACCAGCACAUCCCCCGAGUUUGUCUCAUAUACCAGGCUUAACGCGUGGCCACGUUUGGCGCUUUGGCAGUACCCUAUCUACCCAGUACGAGACGAACUAUCUACUAAUGUAUCUAUCUAUCUAUCUAUCUAUCUAUCUAUAGCCCACCUUUUUCAUCAAUGACAUGAAUUUAAUAGCUAUCUAAUGCUUUAAUUGAUGCUUAUCUCUUGCAUGCUACAUGCUAUAAAUAGGGGGAGCGGCAAAAGACUGGACCACACACCACAACCCACAAGCAAGAGUAGGUAGAGCGAGACCACAGUGGCGAGGACAGAUAGGAUGGCGUCAAAGAUGAGCAAGGACGUGAAUUUCUCCGAGGAAGAAGUCACCUCGCACCCGCGUGUUCUAGAAGGUGAGGAGCAGACGGUUGCACCGGCACGGCAGUCUUCCAUCUUCCCGCCAACGUUGGACGAGCUGCAAUACUCUAUGUGCGAGGCAAGGCACAACUUUGGGUCCAUGAACAUGGACGAGUUCAUGAGCAACAUAUGGAAUGCCAAGGAGUUCCAAGCGGCGACCUAUGGUGUCUUGGUGGGCAUGGAGGUGGCUCCGGUGGUGGCUGUUGAUGGAGGCCGAGGUGGUGAAGAUGCAGGAGGAAGCAACCUAGCCCGGCAGGAGUCGUUCUCCUUGCCUCCCCCGCUAUGCCGAAAGAUGGUGGAGGAGGUGUGGGCUGAGAUCAACAGGGAGACCCGCCCGGUGCAUUCCCAGCCUCAGUCCGCGCGACCCUCGCCAUUGAUUCCUGUCGAACCACCGGCGGGGAAUGGUGGUGGGGUUGCGGCGAACGAACAAUGGGGGACGCUUGGAGAGAUGACGCUAGAACAGUUUCUUGUCAAGGUUGGUGUGGUCUGGGGAUCUGGCACCGGCGGCCAGGAGCCUGUGCCGGUCGGCAUGGUCCAUGGACAGAUGAACCCUACCCCGGCCAACGGCAUGUUCCAGGUGAUGGGCGAUGGCAUGGUGUUCAUCCCCAAUGGGUACAUAGGGAUGGUCGUGGUGCCGCCACCACUACCUCCUCAAGGUGGGGUGGGUAUCGUGAGCCCAGGGUCGUCGUACGGGAGGAGCACCAUGACGGAGGUUGACAUGAUGAACUGUAUGGGCGACAGAGUGAUGAUGGAGAACAGCGGCACACGGAAGCGCGGCGCUCCGGAGGAUCAGUCCUGUGAGAGGAGCAUCGAGCGCCGCCACCACCGCAUGAUCAAGAACCGUGAGUCAGCCACACAAUCGCGUGGCUGGAAGCAGGUACUUACUUGGCUGCCAAAAUUGUUGGAUUUAUGCAAUGUCAUUUCUGCAAUGGUGGUAACUGGUAACAAGGUUGGCGACACUUACACUCUAUGUCUUUCUUAACCGGCAGGCUUAUACCAAAGAGCUUGAAGCCGAACUAAACCACCUCAAGGAGGAGAACUCUCAUCUGAAAGAUGAGGAGGUGCGAAGUUGCUCACCAAUGAAAACCAUGAGAAAAUUCAGUUUUCUUAGUCUUUUCAGUUCUUACCAUUACUAAACAGUUUCACUGUUUUGUUGCAGAAGACGAUUUUGCUGACCAAGAAACAAAUGGUAUGUACAUUUUCCCACCAUCAUGUGGCAAUCCUCCUACACUCGCCAUCACUUGCCAAUUGCUUGUGACAAUCUAAAUGCUAGGUAUUCAAACAGUCAAUGUGUGUGUGCUGAUGAAAACACCUUGUGGAUGUGAUCUUUUAUUUCUUACAGCUAGUGGAGAAGGUGAUGGAGCAGCCCAAGGAAAAUGUGAACACCAAGAAGGGUGGCGCCCUGUCGCGGCGCUGCGGUAGCUGCAUCUGGUGAUAGGUGACCCACCAUUCAGCUUCCAUAGUCCUGCUGGCAGGAGGAUGAGAAUGAAUAAUGGUUACCUUUCCUUUCUAGAGCGGGGUGGUAUCGUAAUUUACUAGUAGUACCUAAAACCCAUAAGAACCCAAAUGUCUGUGUUUUUCUGGUCAAGCAAGUGAACUUCUGUUGUUGUUACUGUUUAUAGGUAUAUAGGUUUGUCAGGAACUUCAGGCAAAUGGAACAAAAGCAAGUUAGCAAUAUGUUUAUGUGUACUAGCACUUUAAUAUGAUGUGAUGCAAUGUGUGUGGUCCAUUUCUGAUGGGGUCAUCGCCUUUGUUCUUUUCUGAAGAUUUGGAGAU
This 8963-nucleotide long non-coding RNA is filed under the name Triticum aestivum (bread wheat). Its description in RNAcentral is "long non-coding RNA (TAES_LNC026136)". Lineage: Eukaryota; Viridiplantae; Streptophyta; Magnoliopsida; Poales; Poaceae. The record is from RNAcentral.